UACGGGAGGCAGCAGUGCGGAAUUUUAGAUAAUGGAGGCAACUCUGAUCUAGCGACGCCGCGUGCAGGAAGAAGGUCUUCGGAUUGUAAACUGCUGUGGUAAGGGAAAAAUGCCAUGUAGAGUGGAAAGUUACAUGGAGGGAUGGUACCUUACUAGAAAGCCCCGGCUAACUACGUGCCAGCAGCCGCGGUAA
Molecule: ribosomal RNA, 193 nt
Filed under: uncultured bacterium
Lineage: Bacteria
Description: partial 16S ribosomal RNA
Rfam family: Bacterial small subunit ribosomal RNA
Source: RNAcentral